Molecule: ribosomal RNA, 470 nt
Filed under: uncultured bacterium
Lineage: Bacteria
Description: bacterial SSU rRNA
Rfam family: Bacterial small subunit ribosomal RNA
Source: RNAcentral
ACUCCUACGGGAGGCAGCAGUAGGGAAUAUUGGACAAUGGGCGCAAGCCUGAUCCAGCCAUGCCGCGUGAGUGAAGAAGGCCCUCGGGUUGUAAAGCUCUUUUGUUGGGGAAGAAAAGCCUUGGGUUAAUACCCCGGGGUCCUGACGGUACCCAAAGAAUAAGCACCGGCUAACUUCGUGCCAGCAGCCGCGGUAAUACGAAGGGUGCAAGCGUUACUCGGAAUUACUGGGCGUAAAGCGCACGUAGGCGGAUCGGAAAGUUGGGGUGAAAUCCCGGGGCUCAACCCGGAACGGCUCCAAACUAAUCGUCUAGAGUUCGAGAGAGGUGAGUGGAAUUCCGAGUGUAGAGGUGAAAUUCGUAGAUAUUCGGAGGAACACCAGUGGCGAAGGCGGCUCACUGGCUCGAUACUGACGCUGAGGUGCGAAAGUGUGGGGAGCAAACAGGAUUAGAUACCCUGGUAGGCUCUGCU